This 286-nucleotide ribosomal RNA is filed under the name uncultured bacterium. Its description in RNAcentral is "partial 16S ribosomal RNA". It matches the Rfam family "Bacterial small subunit ribosomal RNA", at positions 28 to 310 of the family's 1533-position model. The record is from RNAcentral.
GAUGAACGCUAGCGGCAGGCCUAAUACAUGCAAGUCGAACGGUAACAGGUGUAGCAAUACAUGCUGACGAGUGGCGCACGGGUGCGUAACGCGUAUGCAAUCUACCUUUAACUGGUGAAUAGCCCGAAGAAAUUCGGAUUAAUACACCAUAGUAUAGUUGAGUGGCAUCACUUAACUAUUAAAACUCCGGUGGUUAAAGAUGAGCAUGCGUGACAUUAGCUAGUUGGUGAGGUAAUGGCUCACCAAGGCUACGAUGUCUAGGGGAUCUGAGAGGAUUAACCCCNCA